This is a long non-coding RNA of Lolium perenne, 896 nucleotides long. RefSeq lists it as uncharacterized. NCBI's taxonomy places the organism in Eukaryota, Viridiplantae, Streptophyta, Magnoliopsida, Poales, Poaceae. The record is from RefSeq and is a predicted model, not a curated record.
CACUCCCCACUCUUUCCUCCACUCCCACACACUCUCCUCCUAUCUCUCCCCAUGAAAUUGCUGCUCCUCCUAGCUUCAUGGCCGGCCAUGGCCAUGGCCAUGAAAAGCUCUCCAUGAUGAAGCUCUCCCCCUCCCUCAAGCUCCUCCUCUCCAUGAGAGCACCCCUCUCCUUUUUUCUCCCCAACCCUAGAUGGUUUUCUCUCCUCUUCUUCUUCCUCCCUUGCUAAGUUUGGAUCUUGAUGCAGGUGCAUGUUGGUCCAAGCAUGGAGAAGCUUCACCUAUCCUCAGAUCUGAAGUUCUUGACCAAAAUCCAAAUCGAGUGAUUGAAAGUUACACAGAUAGGUAUUGAAAAGAUCUACAACUUGGCGUUGGUCUCAUCCUCAAAUUCGUUACGGAUUUUGCAUGAUGCGAACAAUUCCGGAGAAGAAGAAGAAGUGGAAUCGGACAAGGAUUUUAUUUAUGUUGUUGGGAUUCUUAUAUUGAUGGAGUUGAAAAAGUACAGGGACAAAUAAGCCAAGGCAAGCCAUCUUUUGAUCUCUUGCUAUUUAUCCUUCUUGUUGUGCUCAUUGCUCCAUUAUACACUUGGUUCCUUGUAUCAUAUGUGAUUUUUGGUCCUCUACUCUAUGCAUGCUUAUUCCCAAAGUAUGUUGAACCCCUUGUUGAUGCUUUGCAUACUUGCUCCCAAGUAUGUGAACCCCCUUGUUGAUGUUAUGCAUGCUUACCCUAAGCAUGUAUGCCCCCUUGACCAUACCCAUGGUGUCAUCUUCUUAGUGGUAUGAUGAUUAACAUCAUGACCCCUGUUUGAAUCAUCUUAAUUAUGUUGUCCCUAUACAUGCUUAUCCUAAGUAUGUAUGAUCCCCUUAACACCUCAAUUAUCAUCCCCUUAGUGGUAUGAU